GUGCACAUCUUUAGAAAAGAAUAAAAUAAAUCUUUAUUGUCCUCCAGGGUGGACAUUUUUCUUUGGCUCACCAGACCUACAAGACAGAUAAACAUAAACACAACAUCUCAGACAUAGUAAGAAUAUCAUAAAAAAGAU
Molecule: long non-coding RNA, 138 nt
Organism: Etheostoma cragini (Arkansas darter)
Lineage: Eukaryota; Metazoa; Chordata; Actinopteri; Perciformes; Percidae
Exons: 3
Source: RefSeq, a predicted model, not a curated record